CUCCUACAGAGGGGUCGAACCCUCUUUCUAUCCCCCUUCUUCUGACGUCAUCUUAGUCCAACUUAGAGUUAUCUGGAAUGUCAAUUAAUUGUAUCAAUUAGGAAUCUUAAUUAAUCAAAGCUUGAUUAUUAAUUUCAAUUCAUUUGAUUAAUCUAAUUUUUAAUUUAACUUAUUUGUACGAUUUCGUUGUAGAUUGUGACAAAACUUCGAACCCGCGUUCAUAGAGUUGGAAGGCAAACGUAAUAACCACUAUACCGCACAGGA
This is a non-coding RNA of Araneus ventricosus, 264 nucleotides long. The record is from the annotation of a GenBank genome assembly. Lineage: Eukaryota; Metazoa; Arthropoda; Arachnida; Araneae; Araneidae.